ACGUUGAGUUAAAGUGUCAAACUUCCCGCUCGUGAGACUCCACGAAAGGCGUUGGUUGAUAUAGAACAGCAGGGCGGUGGCCAUGGAAGUCGGAAGCCGCUAAGGAGUGUGUAACAAUUCACCUGCCGAAUCAAUUAGCCCUGAAAAUGGAUGACGCAAAGAAAAUAGAAAUUUUUUUUUGGUUUUUUAUUAAAAAACCCGGA
This is a non-coding RNA of Gongylonema pulchrum, 203 nucleotides long. The record is from Rfam. Lineage: Eukaryota; Metazoa; Nematoda; Chromadorea; Rhabditida; Gongylonematidae.